GGCUCAGAUUGAACGCUGGCGGCAGGCCUAACACAUGCAAGUCGAACGGUAACAGGAAGAAGCUUGCUUCUUUGCUGACGAGUGGCGGACGGGUGAGUAAUGUCUGGGAAACUGCCUGAUGGAGGGGGAUAACUACUGGAAACGGUAGCUAAUACCGCAUAACGUCGCAAGACCAAAGAGGGGGACCUUCGGGCCUCUUGCCAUCGGAUGUGCCCAGAUGGGAUUAGCUAGUAGGUGGGGUAACGGCUCACCUAGGCGACGAUCCCUAGCUGGUCUGAGAGGAUGACCAGCCACACUGGAACUGAGACACGGUCCAGACUCCUACGGGAGGCAGCAGUGGGGAAUAUUGCACAAUGGGCGCAAGCCUGAUGCAGCCAUGCCGCGUGUAUGAAGAAGGCCUUCGGGUUGUAAAGUACUUUCAGCGGGGAGGAAGGGAGUAAAGUUAAUACCUUUGCUCAUUGACGUUACCCGCAGAAGAAGCACCGGCUAACUCCGUGCCAGCAGCCGCGGUAAUACGGAGGGUGCAAGCGUUAAUCGGAAUUACUGGGCGUAAAGCGCACGCAGGCGGUUUGUUAAGUCAGAUGUGAAAUCCCCGGGCUCAACCUGGGAACUGCAUCUGAUACUGGCAAGCUUGAGUCUCGUAGAGGGGGGUAGAAUUCCAGGUGUAGCGGUGAAAUGCGUAGAGAUCUGGAGGAAUACCGGUGGCGAAGGCGGCCCCCUGGACGAAGACUGACGCUCAGGUGCGAAAGCGUGGGGAGCAAACAGGAUUAGAUACCCUGGUAGUCCACGCCGUAAACGAUGUCGACUUGGAGGUUGUGCCCUUGAGGCGUGGCUUCCGGAGCUAACGCGUUAAGUCGACCGCCUGGGGAGUACGGCCGCAAGGUUAAAACUCAAAUGAAUUGACGGGGGCCCGCACAAGCGGUGGAGCAUGUGGUUUAAUUCGAUGCAACGAGAAGAACCUUACCUGGUCUUGACAUCCAUGGAAGUUUUCAGAGAUGAGAAUGUGCCUUCGGGAACCGUGAGACAGGUGCUGCAUGGCUGUCGUCAGCUCGUGUUGUGAAAUGUUGGGUUAAGUCCCGCAACGAGCGCAUCCCUUAUCCUUUGUUGCCAGCGGUCCGGCCGGGAACUCAAAGGAGACUGCCAGUGAUAAACUGGAGGAAGGUGGGGAUGACGUCAAGUCAUCAUGGCCUUUACGACCAGGGCUACACACGUGCUACAAUGGCGCAUACAAAGAGAAGCGACCUCGCGAGAGCAAGCGGACCUCAUAAAGUGCGUCGUAGUCCGGAUUGGAGUCUGCAACUCGACUCCAUGAAGUCGGAAUCGCUAGUAAUCGUGGAUCAGAAUGCCACGGUGAAUACGUUCCCGGGCCUUGUACACACCGCCCGUCACACCAUGGGAGUGGGUUGCAAAAGAAGUAGGUAGCUUAACCUUCGGGAGGGCGCUUACCACUUUGUGAUUCAUGAC
This 1464-nucleotide ribosomal RNA is filed under the name uncultured bacterium. Its description in RNAcentral is "bacterial SSU rRNA". It matches the Rfam family "Bacterial small subunit ribosomal RNA". The record is from RNAcentral.